AGUAAUGUAUGGGGAUCUGCCUGAUGGCGGGGGAUAACUACUGGAAACGGUAGCUAAUACCGCAUAACGUCGCAAGACCAAAGAGGGGGACCUUAGGGCCUCUUGCCAUCGGAUGUGCCCAGAUGGGAUUAGCUAGUAGGUGGGGUAAUGGCUCACCUAGGCGACGAUCCCUAGCUGGUCUGAGAGGAUGAUCAGCCACACUGGGACUGAGACACGGUCCAG
RNAcentral lists this ribosomal RNA (222 nucleotides) under uncultured bacterium. Its description in RNAcentral is "partial 16S ribosomal RNA". It matches the Rfam family "Bacterial small subunit ribosomal RNA", at positions 109 to 334 of the family's 1533-position model. The record is from RNAcentral.